RNAcentral lists this long non-coding RNA (941 nucleotides) under Homo sapiens (human). RNAcentral's name for it is "long intergenic non-protein coding RNA 3076". The record is from RNAcentral. Lineage: Eukaryota; Metazoa; Chordata; Mammalia; Primates; Hominidae.
AGUCCUCUCCACCCCAAGGUAGGCAGCUUCCCGCUCCUCGUCUUGGGACCUAAACCCAGGAAGUCAAAUGUCCUUUUCUAGCAGGUCGCCUGGUUAGAGGCCGUGGACGAAGCGGUCCAGGCACAGCCAGCUGCAGGGCGCGGCCUCGGCGGCGCUGCUCGUGGCCCUGGUCAGUGAGCGCACUCACUCCUGGACUAAGCUCUAUGCAACUCAUUUUCAUCUAGCAUUACCUCUCCAAAACCUGAAUCUCCACAAGAAAGCCACACAGCAAUUAACCAGUGUUGCAAGAACUGCUUCUGUAAUAAAGGUGGGAAGACAAAUUGAUGCAACCCUCUUGAAAAGCAAUCUGGCAAUAUGAACCAAGAGCCAUGAAAAGGCUUAUGCUAUUAUAAUUAAAUGGCUGUAAUGUUGGCUGUAAAUAUGAAAUUUUCUUUCACACACCAAUGUUUUCAAGAAUGGCAUAUUCACAUGCAGUAUGUGAUGAAAGAAGCAGUAAAGGAUGCUAACAAAGCUAUUUCUUUGGACAAUCUGAACCUGUUAUUGCUGGUGAAAAGGAUGUUUAAGCAGAGUGAGAGACUCUCAGCAAAAAAAGGUAACUGAAAGAGUGGUAAGUCAGACAAAGAAGAAAAAUGCCAAAGAAGAGGGUCAAGAACAACUCAUAUGACUCCGAAAUCCCUUACCCACAUUGGAGUUAUAAAAAGUUCAGGAGCUGGAGACAAAAGGCAGGUUCAUAAAGAGGAUUCCUUGGAGAGAGUUGUUAUAAUGCUAUGAGAAAAUUGAAGCCAACAGAAGUUAACUAACUUGCCUAAAAUAACACAGCUGUGGCAAAUUAGGACCAGAACCAAGGUCUCCUGACCUAAGUGCUACUCCCACCAUACUACAUGAUCUGCUGUUUAAAAUUUUGGUGAGCUUUAUAACAUAAAUAAAACUACAGAUGUGAA